UAGAUGCGAGAGUAGAGCAUAUCAAUAAGCGGAGGAAAAGAAACUAACAAGGAUUCCCCUAGUAACGGCGAGUGAAGCGGGAAGAGCUCAAAUUUGAAAUCUUCAAGGUUUGACCUUGACGAAUUGUAGUUUAAAGAAGUGUUUUCGGUUAGAGGAGUAGUAAAAGUUCUUUGGAAUAGGACAUCAUAGAGGGUGAGAAUCCCGUAUUUGACUAUUCUUUCUAGCUUUGUGAUACACUUUCAACGAGUCGGAUUGUUUGGGAAUGCAGUCCAAAAUGGGUGGUAAAUUUCAUCUAAAGCUAAAUAUUGGCGAGAGACCGAUAGCGAGCAAGUACCGUGAGGGAAAGAUGAAAAGAACUUUGAAAAGAGAGUUAAACAGUACGUGAAAUUGUCAAAAGGGAAGCGUUUGACACCAGUGUUGUUUUCUCGAAAAUCAAUUAAAAAUGGCCUGGAUUUUGUGUUGUAUUGACUUUAUCAGCUUUCUGCACUUUUUUCUUGUCUUUUUUAAUGCACUUUUCGUUUAACAAGUCAACAUCAAUUUCUUUUGUUGUAAAAGAGUCAUUGGAAGGUGGCUUUCAUUUCGGUGAAAGUGUUUAUAGCCUUUGACUUCUGCAAUCGGAGAGAUUGAGGUCUGCAGCGUAGAUCCUUCGGGGUUAGAUACAUUUGUGCCAAGUUAUAGUUUUUCAUAGACAACAUGUUGACUAUGAUUAAUCAUGUAGCUUACUCGCUUAUGCUAUUUUACCUACGCUUAGGAUGUUGACACACGCGCGUGCUCG
Molecule: ribosomal RNA, 775 nt
Filed under: uncultured Neocallimastigales
Lineage: Eukaryota; Fungi; Neocallimastigomycota; Neocallimastigomycetes; Neocallimastigales
Description: partial large subunit ribosomal RNA
Rfam family: Eukaryotic large subunit ribosomal RNA
Source: RNAcentral